This 253-nucleotide ribosomal RNA is filed under the name uncultured archaeon. Its description in RNAcentral is "partial 16S ribosomal RNA". It matches the Rfam family "Archaeal small subunit ribosomal RNA", at positions 474 to 727 of the family's 1478-position model. The record is from RNAcentral.
UACCAGCUCCCCGAAUGGUCGAGACGAUUAUUGGGCCUAAAGCAUCCGUAGCCGGCCCUGUGGAUGAUCCGUCAAAUCCAACGACUCAAUCGUUGAACUGCGGAUUAUAUCGCAAGGCUAGGAGGCGGGAGAGGUGAGGAGUACUCAACGGGUAGGGGUAAAAUCCGCUGAUCCGUUGAAGACUAACAGUGGCGAAGGCGCCUUGCCAGAACGCGCUCGACGGUGAGGGAUGAAAGCUAGGGGAGCAAACCGG